CAGACUAAAGGUUGCUGGAUACCAUCCCAUUUGACCCGAGGAAUGUGUCUCUGCCCACUGCUGCUGCCGCCUGCCGUCUGCUUUCCAGACCCAUACGCAGGCCGGUCCACCCAGUGAGACAUCCCAGUAUGGAGUCAGCCCACCUUGGUAGAAGCAUGGCCUCUUCAGCUGCUGCUUCUUAUCGAAAUCCUCCAGCUGCCUCAGCUGAAUAUGCUUUUUACCUCCACCCUAACUGGUGUGUUGUCAGCAGAGACAGAAAGACACAGACAUGGCUGCCACUGGUGUUCAUAUACAGAGACAUCAUGAGCCUCAGUCAAGACUGCAUCCAGGUUUUGUCACAAAUGACGACUGACAGACAGAAAUGGAGAAAAGGAACAAGACUCUGUGCUCAACAGUAUGAUGCUAUCAGCAGACAAGUCAG
Scatophagus argus is the source of this 421-nucleotide long non-coding RNA. RefSeq lists it as uncharacterized. The record is from RefSeq and is a predicted model, not a curated record. Lineage: Eukaryota; Metazoa; Chordata; Actinopteri; Scatophagidae. The transcript is spliced from 3 exons.